RNAcentral lists this ribosomal RNA (457 nucleotides) under Coptochirus perlucidus. RNAcentral's name for it is "partial 16S ribosomal RNA". Lineage: Eukaryota; Metazoa; Arthropoda; Insecta; Coleoptera; Scarabaeidae. The record is from RNAcentral.
GUCUUUUUGAUAAUGAUUUAAAGUCUGACCUGCUCGAUGAAUUAUUUAAAUGGCCGCAGUAUUUUGACUGUGCAAAGGUAGCAUAAUAAUUAGUUUCUUAAUUAGGAACUAGUAUGAAUGGUUGGACGAGAAAGAUUCUGUCUCAUUUUAAUUUUUAUUAGAAUUUUAUUUUUAAGUUAAAAAGCUUAAAUAAAUUUAAAAGACGAGAAGACCCUAUAGAGUUUUAUAUUAUUUUUUAUUUAUAUAUUUAGAAUUUAUAGUAAUAAUGUUAAGAAUAGUAUUUUAUUGGGGUGAUAGAAAAAUUAAAUAAACUUUUUUUAUAUUAAAACAUUUAUUUAUGAUUAAUUGAUCCAUUUAUUAUGAUUAUAAGAUUAAAUUACCUUAGGGAUAACAGCGUAAUUUUUUUUAAGAGUUCUUAUCGAAAAGAAAGUUUGCGACCUCGAUGUUGGAUUUUAAA